RNAcentral lists this ribosomal RNA (234 nucleotides) under Staphylococcus aureus. RNAcentral's name for it is "partial 23S ribosomal RNA". It matches the Rfam family "Bacterial large subunit ribosomal RNA", at positions 426 to 663 of the family's 2925-position model. The record is from RNAcentral. Lineage: Bacteria; Bacillati; Bacillota; Bacilli; Caryophanales; Staphylococcaceae.
GUGAAAUUCCGUCGGAAUCUGGGAGGACCAUCUCCUAAGGCUAAAUACUCUCUAGUGACCGAUAGUGAACCAGUACCGUGAGGGAAAGGUGAAAAGCACCCCGGAAGGGGAGUGAAAUAGAACCUGAAACCGUGUGCUUACAAGUAGUCAGAGCCCGUUAAUGGGUGAUGGCGUGCCUUUUGUAGAAUGAACCGGCGAGUUACGAUUUGAUGCAAGGUUAAGCAGUAAAUGUGG